Vicugna pacos (alpaca) is the source of this 1223-nucleotide non-coding RNA. NCBI's taxonomy places the organism in Eukaryota, Metazoa, Chordata, Mammalia, Artiodactyla, Camelidae. The record is from RefSeq and is a predicted model, not a curated record.
UUUGCAUUUCUCCAGGCUGAUUUUUUUUUUACUUUCAUUUGAUCAUUUACAAGAUGGAGUAAAUUAUUCUGCAUAGUUGGGGGAGUUUUUGUGAGAUUUCAUGGAAACCACACAAGUUAAGUACUGACAUAAUGGCUGACACCUAGUACAUUUCAAAUAUGUGCUGUUUCCCUGAUGCUUAUGGUACCCACUGGAAACUGUCAAUAGUAGGGAAGAAUUAUUUUCACGAAUAUUUAGUGGGAGAUUGCCCUGGGACAUUAACUUUUUAAAAUUACAUUUUGAACUCAGGGAUGAUCGUUCCUUCUCUCCCUGUUCACUCCUGUCCAGCUCUACACUCUGAGCUGGUCUCCAUCACAGCUUCUGCCUCGGCUCAAAAAACCCUUCCAUCAGAUUUUCCCAUUCUCUACACGAAAUCAUCUCCACCACACUUGCUGUGAUCCUCCUAUGGGAUUUCCCCUCCUAGCUCCCUCUUAGCCUCUGGCUCCUUACACUAUGUUUAUUUGCAGUCCUUUCCACGCAAGAUAAUUUGUUCACAUGCCUCCCAUAAAACUGUCAGCUCUGUGGAGCCAGGAACUGGAGCGCUUUCAUCAACUGAUGGGUCAGAGAGCAGUAAAACUCAGUGCCUGGCACGGAAGGACUGCUCCAUCAAUGUAUUUUUUUCCUGUAGGUACUCUUCUUUCCAUUUAAUUUUUUCAUGAUCUUUUUUUUACUGAUAUAUAGUCGAUUUACCAUGUUGUGUUAAUUCUCAUGUACAGCACAGGCCACCAGUAUUUGUUGACAGAACGCCUGCAUGACAGGUUGGUGACAUGGAUUGAAUCCACCAGUUUGACCCCUUAUUGAUCCUUAGUCACAGAUGUGAAUGAAUGCCUGAAUGCCGCGACUUGCCCUUCGAAAUCCACCUGCAGUAACACCGUGGGAAGCUACUUUUGCACCUGUAAACCCGGAUUUGAGUCAAGCAGCGGGGAACAACAUUUCACUGACUUCGGAGUGACUUGCAAAGAUAAGGAUGAAUGUAAGAACUCCACCUUGUGCCCACCUACAGCCACUUGCAAGAAUGCCCCAGGAAGAUACUUUUGUGUCUGCAAACCUGGAUUUGUGUCAAUGGAUGGGAAGAAUCAGUUUACUGGCCCUGGAACUUGCAGAGCAAAUUCGACUCCUUCAGGAAUCAACUCUACUUCCUCUACCCUGAGCCAAGAUACAUUUUCAAGAGGCUAUAGCCGACC